This 403-nucleotide ribosomal RNA is filed under the name Verrucomicrobiota bacterium. RNAcentral describes it as "Verrucomicrobia bacterium partial 16S ribosomal RNA". It matches the Rfam family "Bacterial small subunit ribosomal RNA", at positions 355 to 776 of the family's 1533-position model. Lineage: Bacteria; Pseudomonadati; Verrucomicrobiota. The record is from RNAcentral.
UGGGGAAUAUUGCACAAUGGGCGCAAGCCUGAUGCAGCAACGCCGCGUGAACGAUGAAGGUCUUAGGAUCGUAAAGUUCUGUUGCAGGGGAAGAUAAUGACGGUACCCUGUGAGGAAGCCCCGGCUAACUACGUGCCAGCAGCCGCGGUAAUACGUAGGGGGCUAGCGUUAUUCGGAUUUACUGGGCGUAAAGGGUGCGUAGGUGGUCCUUCAAGUCGGUGGUUAAAGGCUACGGCCCAACCGGAGUUAGCCGCCGAAACUGGAGGACUUGGGUGCAGGAGAGGAAAGUGGAAUUCCCAGUGUGGCGGUGAAAUGCGUAGAUAUUGGGAGGAACACCAGUAGCGAAGGCGGCUUUCUGGACUGCAACUGACACUGAGGCACGAAAGCGUGGGUAGCAAACAGG